GUUUGAUCAUGGCUCAGAACGAACGCUGGCGGCAGGCCUAACACAUGCAAGUCGAGCGCGCCCUUCGGGGUGAGCGGCGGACGGGUGAGUAACGCGUGGGAACGUGCCCUUUGCUACGGAAUAGUCUCGGGAAACUGGGGGUAAUACCGUAUGAGCCCUUCGGGGGAAAGAUUUAUCGGCAAAGGAUCGGCCCGCGUUGGAUUAGGUAGUUGGUGGGGUAAUGGCUCACCAAGCCGACGAUCCAUAGCUGGUUUGAGAGGAUGAUCAGCCACACUGGGACUGAGACACGGCCCAGACUCCUACGGGAGGCAGCAGUGGGGAAUCUUAGACAAUGGGCGCAAGCCUGAUCUAGCCAUGCCGCGUGAGCGAUGAAGGCCUUAGGGUUGUAAAGCUCUUUCGUGGGGGAAGAUAAUGACUGUACCCCAAGAAGAAGCCCCGGCUAACUCCGUG
This 450-nucleotide ribosomal RNA is filed under the name uncultured bacterium. Its description in RNAcentral is "bacterial SSU rRNA". It matches the Rfam family "Bacterial small subunit ribosomal RNA", at positions 11 to 507 of the family's 1533-position model. The record is from RNAcentral.